This 301-nucleotide ribosomal RNA is filed under the name uncultured bacterium. RNAcentral describes it as "partial 16S ribosomal RNA". It matches the Rfam family "Bacterial small subunit ribosomal RNA", at positions 509 to 807 of the family's 1533-position model. The record is from RNAcentral.
CAGUCGCCGCGGUAAUACGUAGGGUGCGAGCGUUAAUCGGAAUUACUGGGCGUAAAGCGUGCGCAGGCGGUUAUAUAAGACAGAUGUGAAAUCCCCGGGCUCAACCUGGGACCUGCAUUUGUGACUGUAUAGCUAGAGUACGGUAGAGGGGGAUGGAAUUCCGCGUGUAGCGGUGAAAUGCGUAGAUAUGCGGAGGAACACCGAUGGCGAAGGCAAUCCCCUGGACCUGUACUGACGCUCAUGCACGAAAGCGUGGGGAGCAAACAGGAUUAGAUACCCGUGUAGUCCCUGUCUCUUAUAC